GUGUUUCCCUGUCCAGGUGUUUUAGGCAUGGUUUUGCUGUGUUUUUUGUGUGUUUUAGGCAUGACUUUGGUGUGUUCUUGCCGUGGUUUUUGUGCAUUCCUGCCGUGUUUUUUGCAUGUUUCUGCCAUGUUUUUUGCAUGAUUUUGCCGUGUCCCUGCUGUGUUCCUGCCCUGUUUUUGCCAUGGUUUUUAACAUGUUUCUGCCAUGUUUUUGGUGUGUCUUUGCAUGUUUUUGUCCGUGUUUUUCCUGUGUUCCUGCCCUGUUCCUGCCCUGGUUUUGCCUUGUUUUUGCAUGUUUUUGUCCAUGUUUUUGCUGUGUUCCUGCCAUGUUCCUGCCGUGUUUUUCCCCUGUUUUUGGUGUGGUUUUGCCAUGUUCCUGCAGUGUUUUUGUCCAUGUUUUUGCCGUGUUCCUGCCCUGUUUUCGCCAUGUAUUUUGUGUAUUUUUGGUGUGUUCCUGCCGUGGUUUUUUGCAUGUUUUUAUCCAUGUUCUUGCCAUGUUCCUGCCAUGUUUUUGCUGCUGUUUUGGUGUGUUUUUGUCCUGGUCCUGCUGCGUUUUUGCCGUAUUUUUGUCCAUGUUUUUGCCGUGUUCCUGCCCUGUUUUUGUCCAUGUUUGUGCCAUGUCCCUGCCGUGGUUUUGCUGUGGUUUAGGUGUUUUUGCCAUGUUCCUGCUGUGGUUUUGCCAUGGUUUUGGUGUGUUUUUUGUGUGUUCCUGCCCUGUUUUGUCCAUGUUUGUGCCAUGUCCCUGCCGUGUCCCUGCCAUGUUUUUGCCGUGUUCCUGCCGUGUUCCUGCCCUGUUUGUGUCCGUGUUUUUGCCAUGUCCCUGCCGUGUUUGUGCCGUGUCCCUGCUGUGUUUUUGCCGUGUCCCUGCCAUGUUUUUGCCGUGUUCCUGCCGUGUUCCUGCCCUGUUUGUGUCCGUGUUUUUGCCGUGUCCCUGCUGUGUAUUUGCCAUGUCCCUGCCGUGUUUGUGCCGUGUCCCUGCCGUGUUCCUGCUCUGGUUUUGUCCAUGUUUGUGCCGUGUCCCUGCCAUGUUUUUGCCGUGUUCCUGCCCUGUUUGUGUCUGUGUUUGUGCCAUGUCCCUGCCGUGUUUGUGCCGUGUUUGUGCCGUGUCCCUGCCGUGUCUGUGCCGUGUCCCUGCCGUGUUCCUGACGUGUUCCUGCCCUGGUUUUGUCCAUGUUUGUGCCGUGUCCCUGCCGUGUUUGUGCCGUGUUCCUUCCCUGUUUGUGCCGUGUUUUUGCCAUGUCCCUGCUGUGUUCCUGCCAUGUCCUUCCCUGUUUGUGUCCGUGUCUGUGCCGUGUCCCUGCCGUGUCUGUGCCGUGUCCCUGCCGUGUUCCCGUGCCGUGUCCCGGUGCCGGUGCCGUGCCCGGCCGUUCCCUCGGGCGGCUCCGCCGGCGGCUGCAAAGCAAAGCUGGGGGAGGGGCCGGGGGGUUCCGGGGGUCCCGCGACGGCGCCUGGGGAGAGAC
Lonchura striata (white-rumped munia) is the source of this 1459-nucleotide long non-coding RNA. The record is from Ensembl. NCBI's taxonomy places the organism in Eukaryota, Metazoa, Chordata, Aves, Passeriformes, Estrildidae.